AGCAGCCGCGGUAAUUCCAGCUCCAAUAGCGUAUAUUAAAGUUGUUGCAGUUAAAAAGCUCGUAGUUGAAUUUCGGGAUCAGUACGCUGGUCGUGCCUUUGGUAUGUACUGGUGUCACUGAUUCCUCCCUUCUGAAGAACCGUUAUGCCAUUUAUUUGGUGUGGCGGGAAAUCAGGACUGUUACUUUGAAAAAAUUAGAGUGUUUAAAGCAGGCUCGCGCUUGAAUACAUUAGCAUGGAAUAAUGAAAUAGGACGUUUGAUCUUAUUUUGUUGGUAUCUAGGAUCGACGUAAUGAUUAGUAGGGAUAGUUGGGGGCAUUAGUAUUCAAUUGUCAGAGGUGAAAUUCUUGGAUUUAUUGAAGACUAACUACUGCGAAAGCAUUUGCCAAGGAUGUUUUCAUUAAUCAAGAACGAAAGUUAGGGGAUCGAAGACGAUCAGAUACCGUCGUAGUCUUAACCAUAAACUAUGCCGACUAGGGAUCGGAUGAUGUUAAUUUUUAAUGACUCA
This 507-nucleotide ribosomal RNA is filed under the name uncultured Glomus. RNAcentral's name for it is "SSU rRNA". It matches the Rfam family "Eukaryotic small subunit ribosomal RNA", at positions 569 to 1078 of the family's 1831-position model. Lineage: Eukaryota; Fungi; Glomeromycota; Glomeromycetes; Glomerales; Glomeraceae. The record is from RNAcentral.